This 289-nucleotide ribosomal RNA is filed under the name uncultured Alphaproteobacteria bacterium. RNAcentral's name for it is "partial 16S ribosomal RNA". It matches the Rfam family "Bacterial small subunit ribosomal RNA", at positions 1107 to 1397 of the family's 1533-position model. Lineage: Bacteria; Pseudomonadati; Pseudomonadota; Alphaproteobacteria. The record is from RNAcentral.
GUCCUCAGUUGCCAUCAUUCAGUUGGGCACUCUGGGGAGACUGCCGGUGAUAAGCCGCGAGGAAGGUGUGGAUGACGUCAAGUCCUCAUGGCCCUUACGGGCUGGGCUACACACGUGCUACAAUGGCGGUGACAGAGGGAUGCCAACCCGCGAGGGUGCGCCAAUCUCGAAACGCCGUCUCAGUUCGGAUUGCACUCUGCAACUCGAGUGCAUGAAGUUGGAAUCGCUAGUAAUCGUGGAUCAACACGCCACGGUGAAUACGUUCCCGGGCCUUGUACACACCGCCCGU